RNAcentral lists this transfer RNA (70 nucleotides) under Kryptolebias ocellatus. RNAcentral describes it as "tRNA-Pro". It matches the Rfam family "tRNA". From Rfam's summary of the family: Transfer RNA (tRNA) molecules are approximately 80 nucleotides in length. RNAcentral also lists the same sequence under 1 other name. Lineage: Eukaryota; Metazoa; Chordata; Actinopteri; Cyprinodontiformes; Rivulidae. The record is from RNAcentral.
CAAAGAAUAGUUAAAUUUAGAAUCCUAGCUUUGGGAGUUAGGGGUAAAGGUUAGAAUCCUUUUUCUUUGA